Molecule: long non-coding RNA, 584 nt
Organism: Mesocricetus auratus (golden hamster)
Lineage: Eukaryota; Metazoa; Chordata; Mammalia; Rodentia; Cricetidae
Exons: 2
Source: RefSeq, a predicted model, not a curated record
CAGUGCGACUCUCUCUCUCUCUCUGAUAAAUAAAUAUAUUGUUUUCCCUAUAUAGCCUCUAUAUUUGGUGUCAGAAGUGACUUGGAAUUACAGCCCAUGCCUUGGAAACCACCUGAUAUCGGCAUCCUGAGUUGUGGAAUUAAUUGUAUAGAAUCACGAUCCUUCGCUGAAUGUGUCACCUGGCCAAAAGAAAGAAAUUCAAUGAGAAGAAUUGGACCUUGAAGAGUGAUUAACGAUUCGUCCUGCUGCAGAUUUCUCACUUGAAGACUUUCAUUUGCUUUGCAGUGGCAGAAUGUCCCUUCUCUCUUCACUCAGACUAAGUACUUCAGAGUUCUCUGAAGUGAGGAACAGUGCGAUUAACUGUUCAGGCAUCAGCUAAAUUGUUUUUAACAUAGGAAAGGGCUUCAUUUACUGACCUAAGAAUAAUCUUUUUGUCACUGGAUUUGGUUAAUUCUAUGUAUGGAAGGAAAUUUCCAUGUUAUCAGUAACCAAAGGUUCUUUGCUUCUUAUUUUCUGCUAAUUUUCCUUGCUCCAUGGUGAUAAUAAUUAUCCCAAGAAUAAAUACCUACUAAUUAGAAUACUGA